CUGACCGAUGGCCCCCCUCAAACUGCCUCCUCCCUCAGAUCCACACCCCUGCCCUGCAUCUGUCUCCCCUGUCAGGCGUUCCUCACCUGGACUGCUUCCUCCCUCAGACCCGCUCCCCUCACUUGCACCUGCCUCCGCUCUCAAACUCCCGUCGCUCACCUGAAGCUGCUUUGCCGGUCAGUCUCUAGUCAGUCCCCUGAAUUUUCGUCAGACUCACAUCCCUCACCUGGGUCUGCCUCCCCUGUCAGACGUCCCUCACCCGGAUCUGCCCUCCUCCCUCUAACCCAUGCUCCUCACGUGAAUCCACCUCUCCUGUCAGACCCUCGCCCCCACCUGGAUGCGCCUCGCCACGCCCAGCCGCGUCUGCUGCACGAAGGGAUUGGGCACAGGUGGCGGGAAGAAGGACGCCUGGCGGGGCACCAUGGGCGGCCGCAGCCCCUCGUUCCCGACGCCAGCUCCCGGCACAGUGGCCGCCACGGCCCGCGCGUCAGCGCACCGGUUCAUGGCCGACCCUGGCGUCUGGCUAGAGCGAAGCGACCCACGCAGAGCGCGCGAGUGGGAGAUGGGGGGAUGCUCUUGGCCAGGAUAUGGGGGCAGGUCCAGGAAGCACUGAAAGUCCUUUUCCAUUGGACAUUCCUGAGAAGGAAGCAGGGCAACCUGGAGCUCCAGAGGCAACAGAUAACCCUCAUAGACAGUCUCAGAGACAAGGCUCUUAUUCAUAAUGGAAAAAAAGAAUUUUAAAACAAGAAAAUGCACUGACUGUAGAACUUAGUGGUUAAGGGGCUUCCCUGGUGGUUCAGAUGAUAAGGAAUCUGCCUGCAACACGGGAGACUUGGGCUCCAUCCUUGGGUCGGGAAGAUCCCCUGAAGAAGGGUAUGACUAUCCACUCCAGUAUUCUCGCCUGGAGAAUUCCAUGGACAGAGGAGCCUGGUGGGCUAUAGUCCAUGGAGUUACAAAGAGUCAGACACCACCAAGCAACUAAUUUUCACCUUUUGCUUAAGAAUCAGCCCUUCUAAGGGUCUGGCUUCUUUACUUGCUAACUGGAUAACUGACAUCAAGGUAUUUUACUUCCCUGAGCUUCAUUUUUCUUCAUUGAGUAGAUGGGACAUACUAGAAAAUACAAAGGUUCCUGGGACUCUUGCAACAUAUAAAUGAGUCAGUGCAUUUAAAGGACAUGGCACUGAGUCUGGCACAUGAAAAGCGCUUUAUAAGCUCUUAUCAUCAUUACCAGGGUCAUAGGAUGUUGCAGCCAAAAGUGAUCACAGAGGUCAUCUAGUAGGUUCCAUGCCAAUGUCAUGACUACUGGCCGGAAAGGAAUCAAUAAAGGAAGAAGGCACUUAAGUGCUAUGGUUCCCUCGGCUCAGCCUCCCUCUAACCAGUCCUCUGGUGGUUGCUCCCCAACCAAAGGAUGAAGCACAUUUGUCAUUAAGGGAGUUUGGAGAGACCUUUCUAUCGUCUCUCCAAGCCUGAGAACGUCACCUUGCUGCCUUGACCGUCGCUCACUUUGCAGAGCUCACAGGCCAGCUGUCUGCAGGCCCCAGCAGGCUCAGCCAAGGACAGCCGGGUUGCAUCCCCCCUCCCCUUGCUCAGGCAUUUAAUCAAAACAGUAUUCAAAAUAUGAUUCUGGGAGAUUAUAUUGGGAGAUUUGCAGGAGGCUCUCUGAGUGGGGGCAGAGAGAGUGGGAACAGAUUGCUGCUGGGGGCCGGAGGCUGGGAUCGCAGGCUCAGACUCGCCAUUCUCAGGCUUUUGGCUGUACUCUUGGAGCCGACCAUCAGCUCUGCAGAGAACACUGAGCACAAGCAUGGAGAACUAGAUUAUCUCCACACUUGACUGCUGGGGAAACUAAAAGAGGGAAAGGGCUUGUCCACGGCCACAUAUCGAGGGAGUAAUGGGCUUCCCAGGUGGCUCAGUGGUAAAGAAUCUGCCACUAAUUCAGGAGACACAGGAGAGGUGGGUUCAACUCCUGGGUUGGGAAGAUCUCUUGGAGGAGGGCACGGCAAGCCACUCCAGUAUUCUUGCCUGGAAAAAUCCCAUGGACAGAGGAGCCUGGCAGGUUGUAGUCCAUAGGAUUGCAAAGAGUAGGACACAACUGAGCAUGCAAUGCAACGGGAUUGAGGUGGCCAAGCCAUUUCCUGGGAUUGAAGGCUACUCCUUAUGGCCCCUCUCAUACUCCAGCCCUUCUCACACUCCAGAUCUUUGGGACAAGCGGGGGCUAUAGGCUCCUGCUCUGGGUUGUGGGAGGUAGGGAGAGGCUGGAUCCUGUAGAUGAGGUCCUGGAUGGUACCUGGACCUUAUUUUCCGAGGUUCAGGGUCCUAUAAAAGCUCCAUGACUGGAGGCAGGGUGCAGGUAAACCCUCUGCCCACUACCAUCCUCCCUAUACUCUGCAUCCUAGUCCCAGUUCAGUAACAUGACCUUGAUUUAGGUGAGUCUCCUCUCUGGCGUUCACUUUCCCAUCUGGAAAUCUGACUCCAUGUGAUGCUACUGCCCCUCUCCCCUCCACAGAAUGGCUAGCUGGUGCCCCACUUCCAACUGGAGGCCCUGGGAACUAGCUUCCGCAGCCUGGUGGUGGGGUGGGGCUGGGAUGGGUUUACCUGGCCCCCUAGGAGGGGGUGGGGUCGAAAGUGUCUUGAAAGAAACCUCUGGCUAAUGCUCUUUAUUACAAGCGUUAAUCCCGCAAAGCCGACUGGAAAUAAUGUUUAUCUUUUCGCAGUUUAAUUUCCCGGACCCUAAGCCCCCGGACAGUGAGGGCGACAGGAGGGUCCCUGGAGAGGCUGGGGGUAGGAGCAGCUGUCACCCAGGAGCAAAAAGAAGGCAGGGAGGGGGGUUCCCAGAGGAAGAGGAAGAGGAGUCAGAGCGAAAAGGGGGCCUUGGAAGUUGAGUGGAGAGUUAGAUUUAUGUUCACCACGGGUUCUCUAUGACUCUGAGUCAGGCCCUGCCCUGUCAUUUGGCCUCAGUUUCCUCAUCUGAGGAAGGGGUUUGUGCUUUUGUAAUUCAUUAUCUCUGACUAGUCUAUAGACAAGGCAGAGAGGGGCGCGGACAGGUGGCCUGUUCCCCUUGAUUUUUUAAACACCCACGUUUCCUCUACGCAGCCUCCAAGGUUCUUAAAAUCUCCCAAGGUUGCAGAUCCUUCCUGUCCCAGACUUCAGUGACCAGUCUGCUGGCAUCGCGCUGGUCUGAAAGGCUGUCACCCAGCCAAGGCUGGAGGGGCUGGAGCCCUGCGGUGGAGACACGGCCCCUAGGCGCACACCCCUGCAGCCCUCCCUCCUGCCUCUCCGUCCCCAUCGGCUCCCCGGACCUCCCCCUAGGGUACCGUCCCGGGUUCCCCUCUCUCUUUCCUCGCGCGCAGCGGCGGCGAAGGCACUCGCGGGCUAAAGCAGAAGCCACCGGGCCGGGGACAACAAACCAGGGCUCCCACCCCCGCCCCCCCCCCCCCCCC
RNAcentral lists this long non-coding RNA (3437 nucleotides) under Ovis aries (sheep). RNAcentral's name for it is "lncRNA (ENSOARG00000026909.1)". The record is from RNAcentral. Lineage: Eukaryota; Metazoa; Chordata; Mammalia; Artiodactyla; Bovidae.